Lolium rigidum is the source of this 616-nucleotide long non-coding RNA. RefSeq lists it as uncharacterized. NCBI's taxonomy places the organism in Eukaryota, Viridiplantae, Streptophyta, Magnoliopsida, Poales, Poaceae. The transcript has 3 exons. The record is from RefSeq and is a predicted model, not a curated record.
UUCAUCGUAUUGUUGUCUUGGAAUUAUCAGGUAGCACGAAGUCGCCCAGGCUGUUAGACAACUCUUCUGAAUACCAGCUGACAUAUGAAGACAGAGAUGGGGACUGGAUGCUUGUUGGAGAUGUCCCUUGGGAAAUGUUUGUUGGUUCCGUGAAAAGGCUUAGGAUCAUGAGGACAUCUGAUGCCAGUGGUCUUGGACCACGAGUUCAAGCUAUUCACAGAAUUGUAACUCCAACAAGAGGGAGAACAUGAGAGCACCCGGUGAGCUGAUGAAAGAGUUAGAGCCGAGCUUUGAACGCGUUCGACACCACGUUUGUGCAGCCAAUGUCUGUGGCAUAGUCGUGUGAUUAUUUCUACGUAGUUAAGAUAGCAGAAGCUAAUGUCUGCUUCUGGCGACUUCUUCUGGGCUUAAUUCUAUUUUUGCCUCCUGUCCUGGUUACUUCUUCUGAGAUAUGUAAUUUUUUUUCCUGCCACCUACACGUCCGUCAGUGCGAGCAUGCUAUUUCUUUGUGUGGCAGAAGAUUGUACCUGUGCUUACUCUGAUAUGUUUAGCUGUGAGAUGAGAAGGCAGCUCCAGCAGACAGAGCCCUGGGAGGGAGUGCUGAUAGCUUUGCUUA